GAUGAAGAACGUAGUGAAAUGCGAUAAGUAAUGUGAAUUGCAGAAUUCAGUGAAUCAUCGAAUCUUUGAACGCACAUUGCGCCCGCCAGUAUUCUGGCGGGCAUGCCUGUUCGAGCGUCAUUUCAACCAUCAAGCCCCAGGCUUGUGUUGGGGACCUGCGGCUGCCGCAGGCCCUGAAAACCAGUGGCGGGCUCGCUGUCACACCGGGCGUAGUAGAUUUUAACUCGCUCAGGGCGUGCUGCGGGUUCCGGCCGUUAAAAAGCCUUUUUUACCCAAGGUUGACCUCGGAUCAGGUAGGAAGACCCGCUGAACUUAAGCAUAUCAAUAAGCGGAGGA
This 336-nucleotide unclassified non-coding RNA is filed under the name soil metagenome. RNAcentral's name for it is "partial contains 5.8S ribosomal RNA, internal transcribed spacer 2, and large subunit ribosomal RNA". The stretch from base 1 to 120 matches the Rfam family "5.8S ribosomal RNA", at positions 35 to 154 of the family's 154-position model. The record is from RNAcentral.